Molecule: small nucleolar RNA, 138 nt
Filed under: Ornithorhynchus anatinus (platypus)
Lineage: Eukaryota; Metazoa; Chordata; Mammalia; Monotremata; Ornithorhynchidae
Source: RNAcentral
UCCCUCUCGGGGGCACACCUGGAGAGUUUCCAGUACUCUACCAGUCUUGGCUAUGGGAGGAAGAGUCAAGCAAAGGCAUAUCCAUUCCAUUCCUAGCUUGGCCAGUGGCUAGCGAGUGGAAGGCCAUCAGCUGCAAGU